UUCCUCUCCCUCGCUCAUCUUUCUCCCAGAUCCGAUCAAGGCAUCGCCGCCACCCCCACCCACCACCGCCGACCUCUCCACCAUCUCCUCCCCGUCCCCCAUCGCGCCGCCAUCCACCUCGUCGCCUCCCAUCUCCUCCCUCCCCCACCUUCCCCACCCCCACAACAAGAUCGCCGACGUGACGACAGCAAUGGCGGCGGGUACCGGGCGGAGGACAACUACGACUACCUCUUCAAGGUCGUCCUCAUCGGCGACUCCGACAUCGGCAAGUCCAACCUGCUCUCCCGCUUCACCCGCAACGAGUUCAGCCUCGAGUCCAAGUCCACCAUCAGGGGGGUCGAGUUCGCCACCCGCUCCCUCUAGGUCGACGACAAGGUCGUCAAGGCCCAGAUUUGGGACACUACCGACCGUCCUUAUCCCCGUCUACUCGGCAGCAGGAGCUCUAGGCUGAAGAAGUUAAAAGAAGGGAACGCUUCAUCUUUGUAGCUAGUUUUAUGUUCCUGGGUGUUGUACUUCAUAACUUCAUGGCAUCACUUCCUGGGUGUUCAUGGGUGUUCUAAAUUCCUAGAUGAUGUAAACUAUGGCAUGAUUGUAAUAUAUAUAAUAUACUCAUUUUGGUCGUCAUUUGUGAAAA
Triticum dicoccoides is the source of this 634-nucleotide long non-coding RNA. RefSeq lists it as uncharacterized. The record is from RefSeq and is a predicted model, not a curated record. NCBI's taxonomy places the organism in Eukaryota, Viridiplantae, Streptophyta, Magnoliopsida, Poales, Poaceae. The transcript is spliced from 2 exons.